This is a non-coding RNA of Styela clava, 1101 nucleotides long. NCBI's taxonomy places the organism in Eukaryota, Metazoa, Chordata, Ascidiacea, Stolidobranchia, Styelidae. The record is from RefSeq and is a predicted model, not a curated record.
UGUUGGCGUGGGUAAUUCAUAACCACGGCGUCGUCUGCUGUAUAUUUUAGGCUGCUCGCUGUUAAACGUAUUCAAAGUUCGAAUGAAAAUGGAUUUAUCUGAGGAAGAAAUGCUUGAAUUUUUUGAUGACAUGAGUUAUAUAGUACUGAUUGCUUAUUAAAAUAGGUUUUGAUCCUGAAAGAAUGAAUAGUAAGAGUUUAUAGUAGACUACCAUAGUUUAAUAUGUGAAAGUAGAGACCGUUUUUGGUUUGCUAAAAAUUUGCUUGAUGACGAGAUAGAAGGAAAAUGGGGCAUAGGCUAUCUGUAGUAGAAAUCGACUAAGGAAGUGUUAAUUGCAAGAAGACACUGCAGACUGCAUUGAAUGAUUUGAACAUCACAUUAAAUCAGGAAUCAUCACUAUGGGCAGUUGUUAAAGCGGAUAUGAUGGAAAUUUCUAGAGAAGAAUCCAGAAGUAAAAUGACAGCUAAAUACAUUGAAAAGUUGCAAAAGCCAUAGCCCAUAUUCAAACAAUUCUGAAAUCUCUCAUUUGGAUCUAAAACGCAUAAUCAAAACUGCAGCACCGAAAAUUAUAAAAAAAGCGUUUCAAGUAACUGAGCCAUUCAUGCAAACGUCAAUAACCAAAGGCGACAAAAAGGUGAUUGAGUACCUAGCUGGGGGAUUGCUAAAAUGGGGAAUAAAGCGUCUAGGUGGAGAAGGUGCUUUCUGGUGCCAAAACCAAGCUUCGAGACUCGAUCUUCCCAAUUGCUUUGAAGAGCGCAAUAGAGGCGGUAUCAUAUCAGCAUCCGAAACAUUUGUUCUCUUCCUAAUCUCUGUGGGAAGCUAAUUCCUGUCUCAAGUAUGCAAAAGGGUAAUAGAUAAACGGCGUAUUAUCGGAAAUAUUGACAUGGACCCUUUCAGCCCCAAUGAAUCCAGUAUUCUGACCCUUCUUGUGAGAAGAUUUAUUCGAACAAGGACCCAUAUCCAUUGCAAGACUGAACUGUAGAACAAAGUUUCGAAAAGAAAAUAUGGACCCAAAUCAUAUGGACUUCGCGAUGGUUUGAAAAAUUGUUUUUCCAAAUAAUCUCAUUAUUACACUAUAAUAAAAAUUAGCCAACAAAACAA